UACGUAGGGUGCGAGCGUUACUCGGAAUUACUGGGCGUAAAGCGUGCGCAGGCGGUCUUGUAAGUCAGAUGUGAAAGCCUCGGGCUUAACCUGGGAACUGCAUUUGGGACUGCAAGGCUGGAGUACGGCAGAGGGAGGUGGAAUUCCACGUGUAGCAGUGAAAUGCGUAGAGAUGUGGAGGAACACCGAUGGCGAAGGCAGCCUCCUGGGCUAGUACUGACGCUCAUGCACGAAAGCGUGGGGAGCAAACAGG
This 253-nucleotide ribosomal RNA is filed under the name uncultured bacterium. Its description in RNAcentral is "partial 16S ribosomal RNA". It matches the Rfam family "Bacterial small subunit ribosomal RNA", at positions 524 to 776 of the family's 1533-position model. The record is from RNAcentral.